CCUACGGGUGGCAGCAGUGGGGAAUAUUGCACAAUGGGGGAAACCCUGACGCAGCGACGCCGCGUGAAUGAAGAAGGCCUUCGGUUUGUAAAGCUCUAUCAUCAGGGACGAAAAUGACGGUACCUCCGAAAGAAGCCCCGGCUAACUACGUGCCAGCAGCCGCGGGAAUACGUCGGGGGCAAGCGUUAUCCGGAUUUACUGGGUGUAAAGGGAGCGUAGACGGCAGAGCAAGUCUGAAGUGAAAUGCCUGGGCUCAACCCCCGAACUGCUCUGGAAACUGUUCGGCUUGAGUGCAGGAGAGGUAAGUGGAAUUCCGAGUGUAGCGGUGAAAUGCGUAGAUAUUAGGAGGAACACCAGUGGCGAAGGCGGCUUACUGGACAGUAACUGACGUUGAGGCGCGAAAGCGUGGGGAGCAAACAGGAUUAGAUACCCGUGUAGUC
This 440-nucleotide ribosomal RNA is filed under the name uncultured bacterium. RNAcentral describes it as "partial 16S ribosomal RNA". It matches the Rfam family "Bacterial small subunit ribosomal RNA", at positions 338 to 795 of the family's 1533-position model. The record is from RNAcentral.